Molecule: ribosomal RNA, 455 nt
Filed under: uncultured bacterium
Lineage: Bacteria
Description: bacterial SSU rRNA
Rfam family: Bacterial small subunit ribosomal RNA
Source: RNAcentral
UACGGAAGGCAGCAGUGGGGAAUAUUGCACAAUGGGCGCAAGCCUGAUGCAGCCAUGCCGCGUGUAUGAAAAAGGCCUUCGGGUUGUAAAGUACUUUUCAGUCGUGAGGAAGGUGUUAAGGUUAAUAACCUUAGCAAUUGACGUUAGCGACAGAAGAAGCACCGGCUAACUCCGUGCCAGCAGCCGCGGUAAUACGGAGGGUGCGAGCGUUAAUCGGAAUUACUGGGCGUAAAGGGCACGCAGGCGGUUAAUUAAGUUGGAUGUGAAAUCCCCGGGCUUAACCUGGGAAUGGCAUUCAAGACUGGUUAGCUAGAGUCUUGUAGAGGGGGUAGAAUUCCGAUGUGUAGCGGUGAAAUGCGUAGAGAUGUGGAGGAAUACCGGUGCGAAGGCGGCCCCUGGCAAAGGACUGACGCUCAUGUGCGAAAGCGUGGGGAGCAAACGAGGGAUUAGAUACC